This is an RNA transcript of Fragaria vesca subsp. vesca, 697 nucleotides long. RefSeq lists it as uncharacterized. The transcript has 2 exons. Lineage: Eukaryota; Viridiplantae; Streptophyta; Magnoliopsida; Rosales; Rosaceae. The record is from RefSeq and is a predicted model, not a curated record.
AGGAAGGACACCGUGUACAUUACGUCGUGUACAUGUCAUGAAAAGAGACUUGACAGAGCUGGAUAGUAUUGGUGAGGUUUUGCACCUGGGGGUUGUCUCAAAUUAAUUGAGUUUUGUCUCGAGGACUGUUCAAAUAUUUGUGGUUGCAGACUGCAACUAUUUGUGGCUACACGCUGUGCAAAUCAGUCCAUUGAUGCUCAGAAGGUGUUUGGGAGGGGUUUCCAAACGGUGGUUUCAUUCAGAGUAAAAGCUGUAAAUCUUUCAAAGUAAUUCUCUUUUCUCCUUACGUAUUGUAUGUGAUUACUUGGUGUAAUCUGUUUCAAGCUACUCCAUGAUGUGCCAUGGAAUUCCAUUACAGUGUGAAAUUGGAACAAGGAUCAGUAACAGCAGUAAUCGGCAAAUAGGGCACUGGCAGAGGGGUGAUUUAUAAGAACAAUAACCCUAAGCUUAUGGCUGCUUUCAUUUUGCUGUAUAGAAAACAAUAACCAAUUAACCAUAGUUGACAUUGAUUUUAAGAUAUUAUAUCCCUUUUUGUAAUGUGAUGAAUGUGAGGUUUUUGUAGCAGAACAAUGAACACAGAACAAUCAAAAGGCUUUUUGUACAAUUGAGCAUUUGAACAUCUGCUUGAUCCCUUGCAAAAUAGCAUCACAAAAAUAGACUUACAUAGUGCUCACGCUUUGGUAACAAGUGAAGUCCU